AACAGCUUGGCGCCAAGGCAGGGAGUUGACGUCAACGGAGUCCGUGUUAGGGGCCCCGAAGCAGGGUCUGGAAAAGGGGGAUGGGAUGUGGGUGUGAAGGGAUGCAGCCCCCCCAAAAGAAAUCGAGGUGAAAAAGAAAUACCUACUAAUGAUGCCCCAAUGCAAAAUCUGAGAAGAUAAAGGGGGAAAAAGGACAAGCAUAUAUUUGUCUAAAAACGGGAAAAAAGGGGAAAAAAGCCGUGAAAAAUCGAGGCAAAAACAUAUACGUUGAGGUCUAACCACGAACGAUAAAGGUGGAAGAAAGGAGUUUUCUGCCUGCAACACCCAAGCACUAAGCUAAUUUCCUUAAUAAACGAAGAGAUAUUGGAAAUCAUCAAGGGACAGACAAAGGCAAACCAAAAAAAAAGGGGGCAAAAGAGACCGCAAGUCACAGGACAAUACAAAUGGCUGGAAGAAUCAUGACUUGACUCGGCAUAGCGAAACGCCAACCUGAGAUACCGGGUGAAGGCGGUUUAGGGCAGUGCGCUGAAUCGCAUGCUGUCACCACCGUUGCACGAAUCCACUGCGUAGACUAGCAAGAAAUUGCGAGGGGAGUGAGUGCGUAGAUUACCAAGCCUGCUUCUGAUAGAAGAAAUUCCGUCACCAGGAGAAAUAACGGGGUGUCGCUGCCAUAAAGGACCAAGAUCGCAAUAGAUUCAAGGAAAUAAAACGCGUUGCUGAAGUUUGUAGAAACGGAACGGUUCAUUUCCCCCAUUGCAACACCUUUAACAGACGUUUUUGAGUAACAGCAUAGCCAGUGUACAGUGACAUUUGCCUGAGGCAGUAGGACCUGUGACAUCGGAACAGUCCGAAGGCUCCAGCAGAUGAGAAUCCAGCUGUCUGCUAUCAAGUCUGGCACUGAAGAGAUUUGCAGAGAUGUAGAGUGAUGCUACCAGAAGAGAGCUUCAAUUGGAUCUUCAGCAGGUGAUGCCAUCUGGUCCAGGGUCUCUCUUGUCUUGCACUGUGGACAUUCAGCACUGGAGAAUUCUUUGCUUUCUUUGACAUCGGCUCUUGUUUUCCUGCAACCCACGAGUUCCCCCACCACCUGGAAGAACUAACAGGAAAUGAGCAAGAGCAAAGACACAACCACAGCUUAACGACCUGAAUGAUGCUCCUUCCCUGAUCAGCACUGGGUAACAGCCUGCAGCAGGCCUGACCCUUUCAUUAGCAGCGUGCAGCAGGAUCGUGAGCAACAGCUGUGACAUUCCUGAGUGGGCCUGGGCCUUCUCCUCACUCCAGUCAGUGUUCUUUCUGCUGCUCAGAAGGGAUUUUUUUGUGACUUUGGAGCAGUUUGACUCUUCAGUUCUUACAGGACUGAAUAUCUGGAUCUGGAAUCUGCAGUCAAAAAGGCCAGCACCAGAGGUGACCACUCAGGCUCAUCUUCCUAACUGUUGCAUUUGCAUGAGAGACUAGAAUUUGACCAGAACGUCAUUGUCUCAGCAUCAUCAGAGGGACAGAGAAGAGCAGAGACACCAGUGAGACCAGAUGUGCACUG
Onychomys torridus (southern grasshopper mouse) is the source of this 1534-nucleotide long non-coding RNA. RefSeq lists it as uncharacterized. NCBI's taxonomy places the organism in Eukaryota, Metazoa, Chordata, Mammalia, Rodentia, Cricetidae. The record is from RefSeq and is a predicted model, not a curated record. The transcript is spliced from 8 exons.